GCCUGGAUGGCGGAAUCGGCAGACGCAACGGACUCAAAAUCCGUCGAACGCAAGUUCAUGAGGGUUCGACCCCCUCUCCAGGUA
This 84-nucleotide transfer RNA is filed under the name Opitutales bacterium. Its description in RNAcentral is "tRNA-Leu". It matches the Rfam family "tRNA". From Rfam's summary of the family: Transfer RNA (tRNA) molecules are approximately 80 nucleotides in length. Their secondary structure includes four short double-helical elements and three loops (D, anti-codon, and T loops). Lineage: Bacteria; Pseudomonadati; Verrucomicrobiota; Opitutia; Opitutales. The record is from RNAcentral.